This 825-nucleotide ribosomal RNA is filed under the name uncultured bacterium. RNAcentral's name for it is "bacterial SSU rRNA". It matches the Rfam family "Bacterial small subunit ribosomal RNA", at positions 8 to 846 of the family's 1533-position model. The record is from RNAcentral.
AGAGUUUGAUCCUGGCUCAGGACGAACGCUGGCGGCGCGCCUAACACAUGCAAGUCGAACGAGCGAGAGAGAGCUUGCUUUCUCGAGCGAGUGGCGAACGGGUGAGUAACGCGUGAGGAACCUGCCUCAAAGAGGGGGACAACAGUUGGAAACGACUGCUAAUACCGCAUAAGCCCACGGGUCGGCAUCGACCAGAGGGAAAAGGAGCAAUCCGCUUUGAGAUGGCCUCGCGUCCGAUUAGCUAGUUGGUGAGGUAACGGCCCACCAAGGCGACGAUCGGUAGCCGGACUGAGAGGUUGAACGGCCACAUUGGGACUGAGACACGGCCCAGACUCCUACGGGAGGCAGCAGUGGGGAAUAUUGCACAAUGGGGGAAACCCUGAUGCAGCGACGCCGCGUGGAGGAAGAAGGUCUUCGGAUUGUAAACUCCUGUUGUUGGGGAAGAUAAUGACGGUACCCAACAAGGAAGUGACGGCUAACUACGUGCCAGCAGCCGCGGUAAAACGUAGGUCACAAGCGUUGUCCGGAAUUACUGGGUGUAAAGGGAGCGCAGGCGGGAAGACAAGUUGGAAGUGAAAUCUAUGGGCUCAACCCAUAAACUGCUUUCAAAACUGUUUUUCUUGAGUAGUGCAGAGGUAGGCGGAAUUCCCGGUGUAGCGGUGGAAUGCGUAGAUAUCGGGAGGAACACCAGUGGCGAAGGCGGCCUACUGGGCACCAACUGACGCUGAGGCUCGAAAGUGUGGGUAGCAAACAGGAUUAGAUACCCUGGUAGUCCACACCGUAAACGAUGAUUACUAGGUGUUGGAAGAUUGACCCCCUCAGUGC